UUCGCUCCUCUGCCAGUACACCAACAGCUGCCGACUCCAGUCGUCAAUCCGUCAAUUGCCUGAAGAUUGCGGACGACACCACCCUCAUUGGGCUCAUCUGUGGUGGGGAUGAGGCCGCCUACAGGUGGGAGCUUGACCAUCUGGUGACCGGCUGCGGACAGAACAACUUGGAGCUCCACGCUCAAAAGACAGUGGAGAUGGUUGGGGAUUUCAGGAAGAGCGCACCUCUAGUGAGAGCUGAAAAGAAAUUUAAUGAAAAUGUUUAGUCUGUACUACCAGUUAGCUGCAAAGACAACAGGUAAAGACAGAUUGCGAAGCAUAAGAAACUUAAAUGUGUGAGGAAAAUGACACAGAUUGUUUUUACAGCACACAGGACGAAGCUACCAGCCACUGUUUCUAGACCUGCAGAGCCGGAUGACCCCACUGUGACUGCUGCUUUCAUGAAAGCACACAGAAGCCAGUCUCCCGCAGUCCUUUGGAGUCUGUGAUAACAGGAGCUCCAUCUCUUCCUAAAGAUUCAUCAUCCUCACAGAAUAUUGCCCCUGUGGAAGCACAGAGAGACGCUGUCCAUGAUGAAGCUCCACCAUGUCAAGUGCCUCCUGUCAGGCAGCCAGCAGCCCCAGUCCCAGGCUACAAUCCGGAUGUUGCACAGUGGAACUGAUCCCAUCAGCCGAAGAUAUGGAUGAAGACUGAGCUCGAGACAUUGGGUCUGUGGCCAGGGUCACGUCCAGUAUGUCACCCAAUGAACAUGAUUUCCCUGUGGCGCUAUCCACCUCAGCCUGAGCUCAUAGACUCAAUUACAGAAAUAUUUUCAGCUUCACCCAUUCUUCAUUUGGAAGCCAGAGCAUGCAAUUACGAAAAGGCUGAGGAAUAAUUUUGUCCCGCCGUGUCUCCAUGGUUGUCCAUCAGAUGCUGAUGACUGUACAUACGUGCUGUGUGAAUGGAUUUUCUUUAUUUAUUAUUAGUAUUUAGUUUUAACUGUCUUUCUCUUAAUUAUGGUCUCCUCUACCUGCUCUGGUUUGAACAACACUUUGGUCACAAGCGUUGUUUUGAAUUUUUCUUUAUAAAUAGAUUUGAUUUGAUUUGAUUGAAGUUGAAACAGACAAGAAUGGAGACUCAACCCUGUUUAAAGUUUCAGUUAGCUUUGUGCAGCUACAGCCGAAAAUGUCCUUCAGAGGAACUAAGAGAGUACUUUUAUACUUUGAGUACAUUUUUAGAGCCUGUACUUUUUCACUUUUACUUGAGUAAAGAAGUUGAGUCAUUACUUCUACUUUUACCAGUCUUUUUACACAAGUAACUGUACUUCUGAGUAAAGAAUGUAUGUACCUUUGCCACCUCUGCUUCCAGCUAAAACAAUUAGUCGACUAAUAAAACAGUUGAUCAGCUUUAAAUUAAUCAGCAACUAAUGUUCAUUUUUUAAGCAAGAAUGACACAUUUUGCUAAAAAAUACAGAUGUAAAAACUUCUAAACUUGCAGAAAUGUAUCAGUUCUGAUAAUCUUUGCUGAUUUGGUUACCUCUGUUACUUUUGCUGCUGAAGGGCCUGAUACUUAAGAUGUAACCCGCCCUUAGGUUUCAGUGGCAGAGAAAUCACAGAUGUAUGUUUGUUGUAUCCUAAUGUCAGAAAUGCUAAUGCUAAGUUGGCAUGCGCAUUAUAAGACAGGUUUCAAGAAUUUCUGCACCCUUGAUUUUGAGAAAAAUACAGCAUAUGAGAAAAAUACAGCGUAUGUCAGUCUGUCUGCAAUCUCAGUGAUUACUUUGGUAAUUAUUUCUGUAAUAUAAACUUUCCUAUCAGAAUGUGGAUGGUACCUUUAAAAUGUGUGUUUCAGGACUGAUGUACAGUGGCUGCAGUUGUUGAAAUCUGGUGAUAUGCACACCCUUCUUUAAACUGCGCUGGGAGUUUAAUAUCCAGUGUACCUGGGUGAUGCUGUCUUUGUAUCAUUUUGUCAAAAAGCAGAGCUUUAUGGUCGGUUGUGUUUCCUGUCUGGCAGUAACACAACAGAAAAUACCCCUGUUAACACUGCAUUGUAUUUAAAUGGAUACUUCUGUA
Molecule: long non-coding RNA, 2048 nt
Organism: Dicentrarchus labrax (European seabass)
Lineage: Eukaryota; Metazoa; Chordata; Actinopteri; Moronidae
Exons: 4
Source: RefSeq, a predicted model, not a curated record